AGUACAUUUUACCCACGCGCAGCCUGUUUAUAUUUAUAGGCUGUUUCAACUUCAAUUUCAAAUUAUUAUUUUUAUUUUCUAAAAACAGUUUGUAUUUAGGUGUGUUCCGCCUCCUCAUUCAUUCACAUAAAAAUAGUCAUUUUUACUUUUGCGGACAAUUACAUUGUUGGGACAUUUCUGACACGGACAAAAUUCCCCAAGCACUUCCCAAUUGUUUGUGCAGUUCACAUUUGCAAACAUUUGCUCAUCUCCCGUCAGAACAGGAUCUGCACACGUGUUCACAUUUUCCAUUCCACAUUUAUAUUGUAGCGUACUGUAUGUAUGGAGCAUAAUAUAUUUGUCUAUAUUCUUUAUAACCGCGGACACGUGAGGAAACGUUACUCAUUUCAUAACCUUUAUGGUGUUAUAGUCAAUCGUGCUUAUGUAGCUACAUUCGUCUAUUAGCUCUGUAAAACAAUGCUAAUUGCGUUAGAGAACUAUUAUCUUGUGUUGUAUUUUGAAGCUAUGUGGCCUUAUGACUCCCAAGUGGUGCAGCGGUCAAAGGCACAGCACAUCAGUGCAAGAGGCUUCACUACAGACGCGGUUCAAAUCCAGGCAGCGUUUCUAUCAAAAAACCACAAACAUUAUUUUCCAAUAUCAUAACUGGAGCUGGACAUCUUUGGAGCUGAAGAAUGACAGCUUUUGUAUGCUAACGUACACUCCUUAACAGUUGUACUGGAUGAAAACACAGCAAGAAAACACAUAUGCCAAUAUGUAAUAGUCAUCUAUUUUAUUGCAGUAUUGGUAGUUGGUUCAACAACUUGUUUUACUAGAGGACAAAAAACAGAAUAUGCAUAACCCAUAUUUAAUAUCCAUGCAGUGACUGAACAACAACUGCAUUUCCACCCCCAUCUCUAAAGGCAUAGUAUCAUGGCUGGUCACCUGUCAGGCAGACUUUGCAGUGCCUCCGUGUGCGACUACCUUGAGCAGCAGUUUGAGGGACAUUGCAGGGAAAAUGCCGUGCAGUGAGGCGUAGGGGAUUGUCUACAGCAGGACGACCCCCAGUGGAUGGGCGCCAAGGGGUGUGGUGCUCCUCCAGCAGCUCUCAUGAGGUUCUCUCUGUAUUUUUGGUGGUCCACCUUCCCUGUUGCCGACAUGGUUGCUGUAUGGACAGUGGAGAGGACAUGGACGUCUCGUUUGUCAUGCCACUUUACUGCCAGCUGUUGACCGUUCUCCUGGAACUCCACCUCCCCUCUCUGCAUCUUCCUGCAUCCGAAUGCCGGCAUCCCCUUCCUGUUCGACACGACUGUGCCACAGGCCCCUGUGCUGUUGGAGAGCAGAUGCUGGAAGAGUGUGGGACUGCUGUACCAAUUGUCCACAUGCAAAGUGUGUCCCUUGCCAAGAUGAGGAGCCAGCAUGGUCAUCACCACGGACCCGGACACCCCAAGCCCCUCAUAAUGUUUUAUGUCAGUGGUGGACCCUGUGUAAACUAUAAUAUCCUGGACAAAUCCUCUCUUCACGUCGCACAUGACAAGGAACUUGACUCCAAACCUGUGCCUUUUGGAGGGAAUAUAUUGACGGAAUGCCAGCCUACCUUUCCAUAACAUCAGGGACUCAUCAAUGCAUAGGUCCUUGUAUGGCACAAAGACCUGACCAAAUGCUGAUGUCAGGCUGAUAAGAACAUUUCUUAUUUUGUAUAACGGGUCACUUAGGAUGGCAGUAGCAUUGUUGAUGAAAUGCAGGCAUCGCAACAGAACUAGGAAGCGGUCUUGGGAAAAGAGGGUGGCAAAGAAGGGAGUUGCAAACAUAGGAUCUGUGCUCCAGUAUUCUCUUAGAGUUCUUCUUUACUAUCCCAUGAGGAGAACUGUCACCAGGAAGGUAUACAUUUCACUAAUUGUGGUUGUCACCCUUUUAGCGAGUUUCCCCCUCACUCCUGGCUCUCAUCUCCUGUAGCUCCAAGGCAUAGCGAUUGGUCUCUUCUACUAUGUUUCCCACCAGCUCCUCUGUCAGAAACAACUUGAAGCACUCUGCCUCAGUUGGAAAUGGCAAGGGGCGUUGCACUCCAGACUGGGACUCGUCAAAGCAAACAGCAGGUCCAGGAGGGGUGAAAUGACUGGUGGCCUUCCAGGUACCACAGAACUCCUGUACUUCAUCCACUGUUGGUCCGCCUCCAUCACCACUAGCAUCUUCAAAGGGACCUGGUACUUCGUCAGUUGACAAGGGAAAUUCAGAUUCAGGGUUCUCAAUGGCUACAAGGUUGGGGGGCAGCUCCUCACUGUCACUGUCAGAAUCUGAUUCCUGACUUUCAUACUCAGACUCAUUGUCAGAAUUGUAAAAAAUCUCCAGAAUUACCACAUUUGUGAGAUGUCUCCUUUUGAAAGACAUUGCUAAUGCUACAGCUUAGCUCACUAGCUACAUACAUAAACAACACUGAAUGACGCAGAGUGAGAGGUUACGUGGUUGACUGCCGGAACGCACCACUUGUAUCAAUAAAUCACUCAGAAAAUGUUGUGUGGCAAUUAUUUGUGUAUUUACGGUUUUAUUCACAUGUUUUCAAUUCUAGGUGACAAAUCAUGCAUUCCGAUUCUUACACAGAUUGUAAUGGGCACAUAUUAUGUGUGUAAAAUAAUUUUUUGAAGGUUGUACUGAUUAUG
Long non-coding RNA from Oncorhynchus gorbuscha (pink salmon), 2633 nucleotides. RefSeq lists it as uncharacterized. The record is from RefSeq and is a predicted model, not a curated record. NCBI's taxonomy places the organism in Eukaryota, Metazoa, Chordata, Actinopteri, Salmoniformes, Salmonidae. The transcript has 4 exons.